This 1091-nucleotide long non-coding RNA is filed under the name Capra hircus (goat). RNAcentral describes it as "lncRNA (ENSCHIG00000002128.1)". The record is from RNAcentral. Lineage: Eukaryota; Metazoa; Chordata; Mammalia; Artiodactyla; Bovidae.
CUCAGAGGCAAGGCAGCUGGGAGAAGGAGGAGGGAGAUGGAUGGGUCAGGCCACCUCAGGGCCUGACCUCAGGGCCUGGGCUCCCCCAGGCAGCUCCCCAGUGGUAGGGAAGUCUUGGACAGGAGUAGCAUCUGGGAAGGAGCCUCCCAAGUUAUUGGAUUUAUGAAUGAAGAAGCGACAAAAUCACUUGGAUUGGAGAAGUGGAAGUUGAAGCGCUUCCCACCUGCGGGGAUCACCAGGAGAACAGAAGUCUGGACGGCUUACCUGUUAUAUUUGGCUCAAGCUGGCUUAAAAAAGAAUUUAUAGAGUGUACUGCAGAAUGUCCCAGUUCUGCGACGCCAAGAAAAUUGUAAUAAGCAGAAACAGCCCCCAGGAAGACCAGAGUCUACUCGUCCUUCAGUCACUCAUUCAGCAGACCCUUGUUGAGGCUGGAAUGGGAGGGGAGCCAAGACACGGGUUUUCACGAAGAAAUCAACACCUCCAUUCUAGAAAACACAGGACUGUUUGAUUGGAAUUGUGCUGACUCUAUACAUUGGUUUUAGAAGAUCUGACAUCUUAAUAUGGUCUCCCAAUCCAUCGACAUGGCAUCUUUCUCCAUCUAUUGAGGUCUUUGGUCUCCUUCAUCACUAUUGUUUUGUUUUCAGCAUAUGGGUUUUGCAUGUAUUUUGUAAGAUUCAUACUUAAUCACUCAUGGUUUUGGUACUAUUGUAUUUAAAUGGUACCUUCAAAUAUUUUCAUUUUCAAUUGGAAGUGUCUAGAAAUACAAUCAGUUUUUGCAUAUAGACCUUCCAUCCUAGGACCUCACUAAAUUUGCAUUUUAGUUCCAGUUGUUGUUCAGUCCCUAAGCUGUGUCUGACACUUCACAACCCCAUGAACUACAGCAUACCAGGCUUCCCUGUCCUUCACUGUUUCCCGGAGUUUGCUCAAACUCAUGUCCAUUGAGUUGGUGAUGCCAUCCAACCAUCUCAUCCUCUGUCACUCCCUUCUCCUCCUGCCCUCAAUCUUCCCCAACAGUUUAGUUCUAGUAAGUUUUUCAUAGACUUUUUGGAAUUUUUUUUGGUGUAGAUAAUUAUGUAAUCUAUAAAUACAGA